RNAcentral lists this long non-coding RNA (781 nucleotides) under Homo sapiens (human). RNAcentral describes it as "HSALNT0193997". The record is from RNAcentral. Lineage: Eukaryota; Metazoa; Chordata; Mammalia; Primates; Hominidae.
UGAGAUCGUCUCAAAAGAAACAAACAAACAAAAAACACUUUUGAAGACAUAAGGAACAAUGGUAACAGACAUCAAGAACAAGAUGUACAAUCCCUGGAAAGCAGAUGAAGGUUAAGUUGCUGUCCUGUUCACCUGCCCAGUCUCUGUUUCCUGAAUUUCCUUCCAUUUACAGCAAGAAGCCCAUUCAUUUAUCCUGAAGCUCUCAGUACUUAGGUGCUUGUCCUUCUUGGUAUAAGUCAACUUGGUGUACGUUUCAUUUGAGUGACAGCUAGAAAAGCUCCACUCAAUAGUCACCUUGAUUGGAGGCAGAGGCCAAGUCACUUGCCACACCCAAGUCAGGAGGCUGCGUGUGUACAUGCAUGCAGAGGAAAGCCCAGGUGUAGAGGGGCUGACAAGGAGAGGAGGAAGGAGGAGAGAGGAGGGAGAACUCCUAGCGAUUGAAAGAAAGAUAAAUGGGAGCUACUGGUGUGAGUGGGACAACACAACGGAACCGUGGGAUGUCUGAAGACACUGUGCUCACUCAAGGAAGCGUGAAAGAGAGGAAGAAAAUUGGAGACCCAUAGAAAAUUAACAUUAGAUAAGGAUUCUAGAUGGUUUUUUGGUUAUAAAUACUUAGAGCUACUUGGUUUUAGCCUGAUAUCUACAAGUUAAUCUGUUGAGUUCCAGAUAAAAAGAAUACUGGUAAUGGAUUUAGAAGAGAAAUGAAUAAAAGACUGUUAUAUUUGCUGCCUGAAUAUUGUGAAACAUAUUUAACAUAUUCACAUAUGAGCUAUAAGACAAU